UACAGAGGGUGCAAACGUUGCUCGGAAUUAUUGGGCGUAAAGCGCACGUAGGCGGUCCAGCAAGCGGGGAGUGAAAGCCCCGGGCUUAACCCGGGAAGUGCUUUCCGAACUACUGGACUUGAAUGCAGAAGAGGAUCGCGGAAUUCCCGGUGUAGAGGUGAAAUUCGUAGAUAUCGGGAGGAACACCAGUGGCGAAGGCGGCGAUCUGGGCUGACAUUGACGCUGAGGUGCGAAAGCGUGGGGAGCAAAC
Molecule: ribosomal RNA, 250 nt
Filed under: uncultured bacterium
Lineage: Bacteria
Description: partial 16S ribosomal RNA
Rfam family: Bacterial small subunit ribosomal RNA
Source: RNAcentral